This 1501-nucleotide long non-coding RNA is filed under the name Coturnix japonica (Japanese quail). RNAcentral describes it as "lncRNA (ENSCJPG00005018650.1)". The record is from RNAcentral. Lineage: Eukaryota; Metazoa; Chordata; Aves; Galliformes; Phasianidae.
UUUUGAGGAUGUCCCAGUGCUGCCAUCAUGGCUCCAGCCCUGUCGUUGCUCUUUAGCUCCAAGUGACUGUUUCCCUCUCUCCCUUUUUUUCUUUGUCUGUGAAGUCUGGUCCAGAGGAAAUACAGUUUUUGCAUUGCUGCAUCCAAAGAAAUACAUUCCAUUUUAGAAACUGUUUUGUAACACACAUUGAAAAGUAAUGAGUAAAAAAAGAAAAACAACAAAGAGGAGAGGUGAAAAUUGACCUCCAAAUAUAUCUGGUUGAUGGGGUGAUACUUAGGUUUUCUUUCAAGAAAAAAAGGUGCAGUGUGUGGGCAGGUAUGCUAACUGCAGGGCAGGUAAGCUGUGCAACAGAAGCUAAAGUGAUGGAUCUGGAAGAGCUGAAUACUGAAGUAAAUGGUAUUUAGUAGCAUGAACUUUAUCUUCCAAUAAAAGCCUGAGAAUACUGCCAUUCUAAUUAACUACCAGUAUUAAUUUCUAUCGCUGUUGCAGACAAUGGUUUUACUUGCAUUUUAACAUUUGAGUUGCUUAACUCUUCUUUGCGGUGAGUGUCCCUUUAAUAGCACAUGUAAAAUGAUGUUUCACAAGUAAUUGCAGUCCAGGAGAGAAACAUACCAAAGUUGGAAGGGAGAUGCUGGCUUUUGUCUUGAGCUCGGGUUUUUAUUUGCACAGGGUGUGCAGUCAGCUGGUAUUACAAGGGCUCUGCCUGUCCCUGUGCUUUGCCCCGUGUUUCUCCAGGUCAUGGAGAAACCCAUGUGAGCAUGUGGACAGAUUUCUUGCCCUAGGUCAUACCUGGUGGGAUUGGCUGACUAUCCAGAGAGCUGCCAGCAUCUAACACAACAACAGACCAUAACCCCAAGUCCUCCUCCAGCUGGUAAUGCUGUAUGGGCAGGCCCUGUGAGCAACAUGGGCAUGUGGUCCCAUGACCAGGACCUGCAGGUGAAGCAUCCAGUCAGUGCUGUGGAUUUUGGCUCUGAAUGUUAUGAUGAAUGUGAGGAAUCCAUCCCUCUGGAAUGCCAUAAAUUCACACAGUGCCAUAGAUCCACGUCUCCAUCGGUGCACUCCCAACUGCCUUUGUGUGAGCAGAACCAGUUGUGUGGCAGGGGAAAACCUUUGGGGAUUUGCGGUGCGUGGGCUUGUGGUGGAGGACGCCUCGUCGGCAGUGCGUGGAGCGCCCAGGAGUUACGGCAGUCUCCUGAGAACAUUUUUUUCUGAGUGAUUCCAGCUUCCAGACAUUUGCCAUGAUAAGGGUUUCGAUCCUUUCCCAUAUUUGCCCUGAGUCAUGAGUGGAUAUGUGUGAUGCCUGCAAGUAAAACUGGUGAGUCGCCAAAGCCAUGUUUGCAGUAACUCUAACUCUUUCUUACAGUCUCUUUCCCUCACUCUUCUUUUCUUUUUGAUAUGGUGGGGAUUUGGGGUUCCUUUUUUUGUAAUGUCUGUGUUCAUAAACAAGUCACCACUAUUUUGUACCUCUCGAAUAAACACGUUAAUUGCAUUGAAAUAUCCA